This 481-nucleotide ribosomal RNA is filed under the name uncultured bacterium. RNAcentral's name for it is "partial 16S ribosomal RNA". It matches the Rfam family "Bacterial small subunit ribosomal RNA", at positions 28 to 507 of the family's 1533-position model. The record is from RNAcentral.
GAUGAACGCUGGCGGCGUGCUUAACACAUGCAAGUCGAACGAAGCAUCUGCGACAGAUUUUUUCGGAAUGAAGUUGCUUAUGACUGAGUGGCGGACGGGUGAGUAACGCGUGGGUAACCUGCCUUGUACUGGGGGAUAGCAGCUGGAAACGGCUGGUAAUACCGCAUAAGCGCACAAUGUUGCAUGACAUGGUGUGAAAAACUCCGGUGGUAUACGAUGGACCCGCGUCUGAUUAGCUAGUUGGUGAGAUAACAGCCCACCAAGGCGACGAUCAGUAGCCGAGCUGAGAGGGUGACCGGCCACAUUGGGACUGAGACACGGCCCAGACUCCUACGGGAGGCAGCAGAGGGGAAUAUUGCACAAUGGAGGAAACUCUGAUGCAGCGACGCCGCGUGAGUGAAGAAGUAAUUCGUUAUGUAAAGCUCUAUCAGCAGGGAAGAUAGUGACGGUACCUGACUAAGAAGCACCGGCUAAAUACGUG